RNAcentral lists this ribosomal RNA (552 nucleotides) under Saccharomyces cerevisiae (brewer's yeast). RNAcentral describes it as "partial large subunit ribosomal RNA". It matches the Rfam family "Eukaryotic large subunit ribosomal RNA", at positions 47 to 602 of the family's 3401-position model. Lineage: Eukaryota; Fungi; Ascomycota; Saccharomycetes; Saccharomycetales; Saccharomycetaceae. The record is from RNAcentral.
AUAGCGGAGGAAAAGAAACCAACCGGGAUUGCCUUAGUAACGGCGAGUGAAGCGGCAAAAGCUCAAAUUUGAAAUCUGGUACCUUCGGUGCCCGAGUUGUAAUUUGGAGAGGGCAACUUUGGGGCCGUUCCUUGUCUAUGUUCCUUGGAACAGGACGUCAUAGAGGGUGAGAAUCCCGUGUGGCGAGGAGUGCGGUUCUUUGUAAAGUGCCUUCGAAGAGUCGAGUUGUUUGGGAAUGCAGCUCUAAGUGGGUGGUAAAUUCCAUCUAAAGCUAAAUAUUGGCGAGAGACCGAUAGCGAACAAGUACAGUGAUGGAAAGAUGAAAAGAACUUUGAAAAGAGAGUGAAAAAGUACGUGAAAUUGUUGAAAGGGAAGGGCAUUUGAUCAGACAUGGUGUUUUGUGCCCUCUGCUCCUUGUGGGUAGGGGAAUCUCGCAUUUCACUGGGCCAGCAUCAGUUUUGGUGGCAGGAUAAAUCCAUAGGAAUGUAGCUUGCCUCGGUAAGUAUUAUAGCCUGUGGGAAUACUGCCAGCUGGGACUGAGGACUGCGACGU